AUGCGUGCUAGAGAUGUUCCAGUCUCCUCCAUUUUUCUCAUCCUCUUUGUGCUCUCCAUCGUCGUCACGCAGGCGCCAUUCUUCCGGGUUCGACGUCUGAUUAGCGAUGAUGGCGGUGGCCGCGCUACGGCGCGCACCAAGGACGCCGCCACCUGUGGCUGCGAUUACUCUGACGGGAAAUGGGUGAGGAGCCGCGCCACGGAUGCUAUGACAUACAGGGAGGACUGCCCGUUCCUCGACCCCGGCUUCCGCUGCGUGCAAAAUGGGCGGAAUGACUCUUCCUUCCGCCACUGGCGUUGGCAACCUCGCUGCGGCAGCUGCCGCCUCCCUAAGUUCAAUGCGACGGAUAUGCUGGAGAGGAGCCGGAACGGCCGGAUCGUGUUCGUCGGUGACUCCAUUGGCCGCAACCAGUGGGAGUCCAUGUUGUGCAUGCUCGCUGCCGCCAUGCCGCCCGGUUCGAGGAUAUACGAGCAGUUCGGGAAGCCUCUGAGCCGGCACAAAGGCUAUCUCUCCAUGGUCUUUGCGGACUACAACCUCUCCGUGGAGUACUACCGCGCACCAAUGCUCGUCAUGGUCGACCGCCUCCCUCCGGCGAGAGAUGGUGCCAUCAGGAGGGCCAUCCGGCUUGACGCACUACCGCGACAUGCUGCCCGCUGGGCUGGCGCUGACGUGCUCAUCCUCAACACGGGCCACUGGUGGAACCUACACAAGACCAUCAAAUCUGGAAACUAUUUCAUGGUGGGCGAUCGGUUCAACAUGACAACGGACAUCAAGGAAGCAUUCCGACGGUCUCUCCGGACGGUGAAAGAUUGGGCACUAAGCAAUCCACGACUCUCCAAGAGCAGCUACAUCUUCAGGAGCUAUUCUCCAUCGCACUACGGCAACGGGACAUGGGACACAGGUGGCUCCUGCGUGAACCAAUGGGAUCCGCUAACGAUGAUUGCCAGUGAGAGUGACCAGCAGGAGCACUUGUGGAUCAACACAAUGAUUUCGAGUGUGGCACGGAGCAUGAGGAGACGACAUGGGAUGAACAAUGAUGCGGUUUUCUUGAACAUAACGUACAUGACGGGCUUGAGGAAGGACGGACAUCCGUCGCGGCACCGGGAGCCUGAGACGCCAUCGGAUGCGCCAGAGGAUUGCAGCCACUGGUGCCUACCGGGUGUGCCGGACACGUGGAACCAGAUGAUGUACGGGCACCUCGUGUCCAUGGGAUUCGACAUGAGGUCAAUUAGAAGAUAG
RNAcentral lists this ribosomal RNA (1239 nucleotides) under Triticum aestivum (bread wheat). RNAcentral's name for it is "partial small subunit ribosomal RNA". The record is from RNAcentral. Lineage: Eukaryota; Viridiplantae; Streptophyta; Magnoliopsida; Poales; Poaceae.